RNAcentral lists this ribosomal RNA (253 nucleotides) under uncultured bacterium. RNAcentral describes it as "partial 16S ribosomal RNA". It matches the Rfam family "Bacterial small subunit ribosomal RNA", at positions 524 to 776 of the family's 1533-position model. The record is from RNAcentral.
UACAGAGGUCUCAAGCGUUGUUCGGAUUCAUUGGGCGUAAAGGGUGCGUAGGUGGCGCGCUAAGUCAGGUGUGAAAUCUCGGGGCUUAACUCCGAAACUGCAUUUGAUACUGGCGUGCUUGAGGACUGGAGAGGAGACUGGAAUUCAUGGUGUAGCAGUGAAAUGCGUAGAUAUCGUAAGGAGGACCAGUGGCGAAGGCGAAUCUCUGGACAAUUACUGACACUGAGGCACGAAGGCCAGGGGAGCAAACGGG